ACAUCAAAGAUCGCGAAUGGCAAAUGGAUAAAGCGCGUAUCAUGAAGAACGCCAAUCGUUAAACACUGGAUUUCGAUACGCUUUUUUGCUAGUAUUUGAAGUUCUGGGGCUGAUUCUGGAUUCGACGGGAUUGUGAAGCCUUAGGAGCAUGCCGAGGGGCGGUUGGCCUCGUAAAAAGCCGCAAAAAAAUAGUCGCAAACGACGAAAACUACGCACUAGCAGCUUAAUAACCUGCUUAGAGCCCUCUCUCCCUAGCCUCCGCUCUUAGGACGGGGAUCA
This 279-nucleotide small RNA is filed under the name Pantoea ananatis. RNAcentral's name for it is "Betaproteobacteria transfer-messenger RNA". The stretch from base 106 to 279 matches the Rfam family "transfer-messenger RNA", at positions 1 to 181 of the family's 374-position model. From Rfam's summary of the family: Bacterial tmRNA, also known as 10Sa RNA or SsrA, is named for its dual tRNA and mRNA-like properties. Its role is to liberate the mRNA from a stalled ribosome. The record is from RNAcentral. Lineage: Bacteria; Pseudomonadati; Pseudomonadota; Gammaproteobacteria; Enterobacterales; Erwiniaceae.